Molecule: ribosomal RNA, 883 nt
Filed under: Helotiales sp.
Lineage: Eukaryota; Fungi; Ascomycota; Leotiomycetes; Helotiales
Description: partial large subunit ribosomal RNA
Rfam family: Eukaryotic large subunit ribosomal RNA
Source: RNAcentral
UAUCAAUAAGCGGAGGAAAAGAAACCAACAGGGAUUACCUCAGUAACGGCGAGUGAAGCGGUAACAGCUCAAAUUUGAAAUCUGCCGCAAGGCCGAGUUGUAAUUUGUAGAAGAUGCUUUGGGUAUGGCCCCGGUCUAAGUUCGUUGGAACACGACGUCAUAGAGGGUGAGAAUCCCGUAUGUGACUGGGUGCUUUUGCCUACGUAAAGCUCUUUCGACGAGUCGAGUUGUUUGGGAAUGCAGCUCAAAAUGGGUGGUAUAUUUCAUCUAAAGCUAAAUAUUGGCCAGAGACCGAUAGCGCACAAGUAGAGUGAUCGAAAGAUGAAAAGCACUUUGGAAAGAGAGUUAAACAGUACGUGAAAUUGUUGAAAGGGAAGCGCUUGCAACCAGACUUGCACGCUGUUGAUCAUCCAGGCUUCUGUUUGGUGCACUCAACUGCGUUCAGGCCAGCAUCGGUUUUGGUGGUGGGAUAAAGGCCUUGGGAAUGUAGCUUCUUUCGGGGAGUGUUAUAGCCCUCGGUGCAAUGCCGCCUACCGGGACCGAGGACCGCGCUUCGGCUAGGAUGCUGGCGUAAUGGUUGUAAGCGACCCGUCUUGAAACACGGACCAAGGAGUCUAACAUCUAUGCGAGUGUUUGGGUGUCAAACCCAUACGCGUAAUUAACGUGAACGGAGGUGAGAACCCUUAAGGGUGCAUCAUCGACCGAUCCUGAUGUCUUCGGAUGGAUUUGAGUAAGAGCAUAGCUGUUGGGACCCGAAAGAUGGUGAACUAUGCCUGAAUAGGGUGAAGCCAGAGGAAACUCUGGUGGAGGCUCGCAGCGGUUCUGACGUGCAAAUCGAUCGUCAAAUUUGGGUAUAGGGGCGAAAGACUAAUCGAACCAUCUA